GAUGAACGCUGGCGGCGUGCCUAAUACAUGCAAGUCGAGCGAACGGACGAGAAGCUUGCUUUUCUGAUGUUAGCGGCGGACGGGUGAGUAACACGUGGAUAACCUACCUAUAAGACUGGGAUAACUUCGGGAAACCGGAGCUAAUAUCGGAUAAUAUUUUGAACCGCAUGGUUCAAAUGUGAAAGACGGUCUUGCUGUCACUUAUAGAUGGAUCCGCGCUUCAUUAGCUAGUUGGUAAGGUAACGGCUUACCAAGGCAACGAUGCAUAGCCGACCUGAGAGGGUGAUCGGCCACACUGGAACGGAGACACGGCCCAGACUCCUACGGGAGGCGGCAGUAGGGAAUCUUGCGCAAUGGGCGAAAGCCUGACGGAGCAACGCCGCGUGAGUGAUGAAGGUCUUCGGAUCGUAAAACUCUGUUAUUAGGGAAGAACAUAUGUGUAAGUAAAUGUGCACAUCGUGACGGUACCUAAUCAGAAAGCCACGGCUAACUACGUG
This 497-nucleotide ribosomal RNA is filed under the name uncultured bacterium. RNAcentral's name for it is "partial 16S ribosomal RNA". It matches the Rfam family "Bacterial small subunit ribosomal RNA", at positions 28 to 507 of the family's 1533-position model. The record is from RNAcentral.